RNAcentral lists this ribosomal RNA (404 nucleotides) under uncultured bacterium. RNAcentral describes it as "bacterial SSU rRNA". It matches the Rfam family "Bacterial small subunit ribosomal RNA", at positions 975 to 1375 of the family's 1533-position model. The record is from RNAcentral.
CUGGGCUAGAAUGCCUCUGACAACCCUAGAGAUAGGGCUUCCUAGGGAAACCUAGGCAGAGUGCAAGGUGCUGCAUGGCUGUCGUCGGCUCGUAUCGUGAGAUGUUGGGUUAAGUCCCGCAACGAGCGCAACCCUUAUCGAUAGUUGCUAGCGGUUCGGCCGAGCACUCUAUUGAGACUGCCGUUGACAAAACGGAGGAAGGUGGGGAUGACGUCAAGUCCUCAUGGCCUUUAUGUCCAGGGCUACACACGUGCUACAAUGGCAAGUACAAAGCGCUGCAAACUCGCGAGAGGGAGCCAAUCGCAAAAAGCUUGUCUCAGUUCGGAUUGGAGUCUGCAACUCGACUCCAUGAAGCUGGAAUCGCUAGUAAUCGCAGAUCAGCACGCUGCGGUGAAUACGUUCCC